CUAUGUUUAACUCUAUGGUAUCUAUAUGUGUAUCUAUAUGUGUGUAUGCAUAUACAUACACACAUACACAUACAUACAUACACACAUAUAC
This 91-nucleotide microRNA precursor is filed under the name Choloepus hoffmanni (Hoffmann's two-fingered sloth). Its description in RNAcentral is "miRNA (ENSCHOG00000014967.1)". Lineage: Eukaryota; Metazoa; Chordata; Mammalia; Pilosa; Megalonychidae. The record is from RNAcentral.